RNAcentral lists this ribosomal RNA (334 nucleotides) under uncultured bacterium. RNAcentral describes it as "bacterial SSU rRNA". It matches the Rfam family "Bacterial small subunit ribosomal RNA", at positions 115 to 484 of the family's 1533-position model. The record is from RNAcentral.
GCGUAGGAAUCUACCUAGUAGUACGGAAUAGCCAUUAGAAAUGGUGGGUAAUACUGUAUAAUCCCCGAGGGGGAAAGAUUUAUCGCUAUUAGAUGAGCCUACGUUAGAUUAGCUAGUUGGUGAGGUAAUGGCUUACCAAGGCUAUGAUCUAUAGCUGGUCUGAGAGGACGAUCAGCCACACUGGAACUGAGAUACGGUCCAGACUCCUACGGGAGGCAGCAGUGGGGAAUAUUGGACAAUGGGCGAAAGCCUGAUCCAGCUAUGCCGCGUGAGUGAAGAAGGCCUUCGGGUUGUAAAGCUCUUUCAAUAGGGAAGAUAAUGACGGUACCUAUAA